RNAcentral lists this transfer RNA (85 nucleotides) under Felis catus (domestic cat). It matches the Rfam family "tRNA". Rfam says of the family: Transfer RNA (tRNA) molecules are approximately 80 nucleotides in length. The record is from Rfam by way of RNAcentral. Lineage: Eukaryota; Metazoa; Chordata; Mammalia; Carnivora; Felidae.
GCCUGGGUGGCUCAGUUAGUUAAGCGUCUGACUUCGGCUCAGGUCAUGAUCUCGCGGUCUGUGAGUUCAAGCCCCACGUCAGGCU